Molecule: long non-coding RNA, 398 nt
Organism: Pocillopora verrucosa
Lineage: Eukaryota; Metazoa; Cnidaria; Anthozoa; Scleractinia; Pocilloporidae
Source: RefSeq, a predicted model, not a curated record
GUUUUCUUUUGGUUGCCCAAAGAAGAAACAUCGCGUUUGCGUUUAACCACUUUUGUCCGUCUUGAGAUUUUCUUUUUCAGCGAUUCAGAGAUCAAGAUGAACCCACGACUUGUAUUGGUGCUGUUGGCCUUGGUUGCUAUGACUACGUCAUUGACGAUUAGAGAUGAUAGUGAAGAGAACUAUGAUGAUUUGAAGGAGCGUGAGAGGGAUCCUGGCUGUAAUGCUUGCUAUGGGCGAUUCGGAAAAACUCACGACGCUUGCUGCUCACCCAAAAGAUGCAACUUCCAUGGGGGAUGCGAGUGAGAACCAAGCAAAAGAUGGAAAACGAGACCGGAAUAACUUACCACCUUGUUGAAGCACCAGCUCCGCUUGCGAAUAACCGGUCAAUAAAAAUUUCC